GAUAAACGCUGGCGGCGUGCCUAAUACAUGCAAGUCGAGCGAACGGACGAGAAGCUUGCUUCUCUGAUGUUAGCGGCGGACGGGUGAGUAACACGUGGAUAACCUACCUAUAAGACUGGGAUAACUUCGGGAAACCGGAGCUAAUACCGGAUAAUAUUUUGAACCGCAUGGUUCAAAAGUGAAAGACGGUCUUGCUGUCACUUAUAGAUGGAUCCGCGCUACAUUAGCUAGUUGGUAAGGUAACGGCUUACCAAGGCAACGAUGCAUAGCCGACCUGAGAGGGUGAUCGGCCACACUGGAACUGAGACACGGUCCAGACUCCUACGGGAGGCAGCAGUAGGGAAUCUUCCGCAAUGGGCGAAAGCCUGACGGAGCAACGCCGCGUGAGUGAUGAAGGUCUUCGGAUCGUAAAACUCUGUUAUUAGGGAAGAACAUAUGUGUAAGUAACUGUGCACAUCUUGACGGUACCUAAUCAGAAAGCCACGGCUAACUACGUGCCAGCAGCCGCGGUAAUACGUAGGUGGCAAGCGUUAUCCGGAAUUAUUGGGCGUAAAGCGCGCGUAGGCGGUUUUUUAAGUCUGAUGUGAAAGCCCACGGCUCAACCGUGGAGGGUCAUUGGAAACUGGAAAACUUGAGUGCAGAAGAGGAAAGUGGAAUUCCAUGUGUAGCGGUGAAAUGCGCAGAGAUAUGGAGGAACACCAGUGGCGAAGGCGACUUUCUGGUCUGUAACUGACGCUGAUGUGCGAAAGCGUGGGGAUCAAACAGGAUUAGAUACCCUGGUAGUCCACGCCGUAAACGAUGAGUGCUAAGUGUUAGGGGGUUUCCGCCCCUUAGUGCUGCAGCUAACGCAUUAAGCACUCCGCCUGGGGAGUACGACCGCAAGGUUGAAACUCAAAGGAAUUGACGGGGACCCGCACAAGCGGUGGAGCAUGUGGUUUAAUUCGAAGCAACGCGAAGAACCUUACCAAAUCUUGACAUCCUUUGACAACUCUAGAGAUAGAGCCUUCCCCUUCGGGGGACAAAGUGACAGGUGGUGCAUGGUUGUCGUCAGCUCGUGUCGUGAGAUGUUGGGUUAAGUCCCGCAACGAGCGCAACCCUUAAGCUUAGUUGCCAUCAUUAAGUUGGGCACUCUAAGUUGACUGCCGGUGACAAACCGGAGGAAGGUGGGGAUGACGUCAAAUCAUCAUGCCCCUUAUGAUUUGGGCUACACACGUGCUACAAUGGACAAUACAAAGGGCAGCGAAACCGCGAGGUCAAGCAAAUCCCAUAAAGUUGUUCUCAGUUCGGAUUGUAGUCUGCAACUCGAUUACAUGAAGCUGGAAUCGCUAGUAAUCGUAGAUCAGCAUGCUACGGUGAAUACGUUCCCGGGUCU
Molecule: ribosomal RNA, 1372 nt
Filed under: uncultured bacterium
Lineage: Bacteria
Description: bacterial SSU rRNA
Rfam family: Bacterial small subunit ribosomal RNA
Source: RNAcentral